RNAcentral lists this non-coding RNA (21 nucleotides) under Caenorhabditis elegans. Lineage: Eukaryota; Metazoa; Nematoda; Chromadorea; Rhabditida; Rhabditidae. The record is from RNAcentral.
UGAGGAACAAAUUAGGGCUUC